This 497-nucleotide long non-coding RNA is filed under the name Olea europaea subsp. europaea. Lineage: Eukaryota; Viridiplantae; Streptophyta; Magnoliopsida; Lamiales; Oleaceae. The record is from RNAcentral.
CGAGAUAGAUCAUCAUUAUCCAGAGAUAAGGAUUCAAAUGGUUAAUUUAAACGUUGUUUAUUGUCUUUGACCUGUAAGAUUAUAGAUUAUAAAGAGAGGAAGGAUGUUAAAGAAUCUGGUUAUAUGACAUUCGAAAUCUUUCCCAUCUGGCUAGAUCAUCAGCUGUGAAAAACCAAUAUGUCAAUUGUUCGUACUUAUCCUUAGAUUUUUCUUCGUAAUUUGCUGUAAGUACUUUCUCGAUGAAAGCAUCUGUGUCUUUAUUUUUCUUCUAACUGUCAAUGAUUAGGUAUUGUCAGUUCCGUAAGUUUUUAUCAACUUCGUAGUAGAGUUCUUGGAAACUAUUCCAGAUUAAUUUUAGAACUUUGGUUGAACAUCAUGUUCACUGCUCGUUCUUGUUACACACCCAGUUUCAUCAGGCAGACUUGCAAAACUCAUUGUGUGACGUGCAUAUGAACAUUUUUGUAGUUGUGAACAUUUAUGAUAUUGUUACAAACGGG